This 86-nucleotide transfer RNA is filed under the name Christensenellaceae bacterium. RNAcentral describes it as "tRNA-Leu". It matches the Rfam family "tRNA". Rfam says of the family: Transfer RNA (tRNA) molecules are approximately 80 nucleotides in length. Their secondary structure includes four short double-helical elements and three loops (D, anti-codon, and T loops). The record is from RNAcentral. Lineage: Bacteria; Bacillati; Bacillota; Clostridia; Christensenellales; Christensenellaceae.
GCCGAAAUGGUGGAAUGGCAGACGCGGCGGACUCAAAAUCCGCUGAUGGCAACAUCGUGUGGGUUCAAGUCCCACUUUCGGCACCA